GACGAACGCUGGCGGCGUGCUUAACACAUGCAAGUCGAACGGAAAGGCCCUGCUUUUGUGGGGUGCUCGAGUGGCGAACGGGUGAGUAACACGUGAGUAACCUGCCCUUGACUUUGGGAUAACUUCAGGAAACUGGGGCUAAUACCGGAUAGGAGCUCCUGCUGCAUGGUGGGGGGUGGAAAGUUUCGGCGGUUGGGGAUGGACUCGCGGCUUAUCAGCUUGUUGGUGGGGUAGUGGCUUACCAAGGCUUUGACGGGUAGCCGGCCUGAGAGGGUGACCGGUCACAUUGGGACUGAGAUACGGCCCAGACUCCUACGGGAGGCAGCAGUGGGGAAUAUUGCACAAUGGGCGGAAGCCUGAUGCAGCAACGCCGCGUGCGGGAUGACGGCCUUCGGGUUGUAAACCGCUUUCGCCUGUGACGAAGCGUGAGUGACGGUAAUGGGUAAAGAAGCACCGGCUAACUACGUG
RNAcentral lists this ribosomal RNA (468 nucleotides) under uncultured bacterium. Its description in RNAcentral is "partial 16S ribosomal RNA". It matches the Rfam family "Bacterial small subunit ribosomal RNA", at positions 28 to 507 of the family's 1533-position model. The record is from RNAcentral.